AGAGUUUGAUCCUGGCUCAGAAUGAACGCUGGCGGCAGGCCUAACACAUGCAAGUCGAACGAAGGCCCGGAGCUUGCUCCGGAUACCUUAGUGGCGGACGGGCGAGUAACACGUGGGAAUUUGCCCUUCAGUACGGAACAACUCUCGGAAACGGGAGCUAAUACCGAAUACGCCCUACGGGGGAAAGAUUUAUCGCUGAAGGAUGAGCCCGCGCCGGAUUAGCUAGUUGGUGAGGUAAUGGCUCACCAAGGCGACGAUCCGUAGCUGGUUUGAGAGGAUGAUCAGCCACACUGGGACUGAGACACGGCCCAGACUCCUACGGGAGGCAGCAGUGGGGAAUAUUGGACAAUGGGGGCAACCCUGAUCCAGCCAUGCCGCGUGAGUGAUGAAGGCCUUAGGGUUGUAAAGCUCUUUCAGUGGGGAAGAUGAUGACGGUACCCACAGAAGAAGCCCCGGCUAACUCCGUGCCAGCAGCCGCGGUAAUACGGAGGGGGCAAGCGUUAUUCGGAUUUACUGGGCGUAAAGCGCGCGUAGGCGGUCUGUUUAGUCAGGCGUGAAAUCCCUGGGCUCAACCCAGGAACUGCGUUUGAAACUGGCGGACUAGAGUUCGGGAGAGGAGAGUGGAAUUCCCAGUGUAGAGGUGAAAUUC
RNAcentral lists this ribosomal RNA (649 nucleotides) under uncultured bacterium. RNAcentral's name for it is "bacterial SSU rRNA". It matches the Rfam family "Bacterial small subunit ribosomal RNA", at positions 8 to 689 of the family's 1533-position model. The record is from RNAcentral.